This 314-nucleotide long non-coding RNA is filed under the name Homo sapiens (human). Its description in RNAcentral is "HSALNT0173488". The record is from RNAcentral. Lineage: Eukaryota; Metazoa; Chordata; Mammalia; Primates; Hominidae.
AUAUGGGAAUCUGAAGUCAACUUUGCCAAAAUUGGAGCUUACAGCUCCAUGGACUUUUUUCCAAGUGCCUGAAUCGAAACAUGAGAGGAUGAAGCUAGAAGAGAUCAUUUAAAUGGCUUCCAGAGUUCUGGAUGAACAGUUUCUUCAAGAAGGAAUUUGGGAACACCAAAAUCAAGUCCUCAAGUGUGGCAAGCUAAUAUAACGAAAAAUAAUGGUUACCCAUCAGUAGAAGAAACCAACAGAACAUAGCAACAUAAAAGUACUACAGACUGUGAGGAUUGCUAAUGUGAGAUGAGAAUCUACUCACAAACAUU